GCUUUUGUUAUGAUUCUUUAACCACUUUUUGCUUUUGUUAUGAUUCUUUAACCCCUUUUUGUUUCCAUUAUGAUUCAUUAACCCCUUUUUGUUUACGUUGUGAUUCAUUAACCCCUUUUUGUUUACGUUAUGAUUCUUUAACCCCUUUUUGUUUCCGUUAUGAUUCUUUAACCCGUUUUGCUUCUAUCAGGAUUCUUUAAUAACUUUUUUUCUGUCACAAUUCUUUAACCACUUUUUCCCUUCCUUCAUGAU
Molecule: long non-coding RNA, 252 nt
Organism: Cyprinus carpio (common carp)
Lineage: Eukaryota; Metazoa; Chordata; Actinopteri; Cypriniformes; Cyprinidae
Source: Ensembl